GAAAUGCGAUAAUUAAUGUGAAUUGCAGAAUUCAGUGAAUCAUCGAGUCUUUGAACGCACAUUGCGCCCCCUGGUAUUCCGGGGGGCAUGCCUGUCCGAGCGUCAUUGCUGCCCUCAAGCACGGCUUGUGUGUUGGGCUUCCGUCCCUGGCAACGGGGACGGGCCCAAAAGGCAGUGGCGGCACCAUGUCUGAUCCUCGAGCGUAUGGGGCUUUGUCACCCGCUCCCGUAGGUCCAGCUGGCAGCUAGCCUCGCAACCAAUCUUUUUAACCAGGUUGACCUCGGAUCAGGUAGGGAUACCCGCUGAACUUAAGC
RNAcentral lists this unclassified non-coding RNA (314 nucleotides) under plant metagenome. RNAcentral describes it as "partial contains 5.8S ribosomal RNA, internal transcribed spacer 2, and large subunit ribosomal RNA". The stretch from base 1 to 105 matches the Rfam family "5.8S ribosomal RNA", at positions 50 to 154 of the family's 154-position model. The record is from RNAcentral.